GAUGAAGAACGUAGCGAAAUGCGAUAAGUAAUGUGAAUUGCAGAAUUCAGUGAACCAUCGAAUCUUUGAACGCACAUUGCGCCCGGCAGUAAUCUGCCGGGCAUGCCUGUCCGAGCGUCAUUUCUCCCCUCGAGCGCAGCUUUCCCCCCCGGGGGAGGGCCGCGCCCGGUGUUGGGGCGCUACGGAGGAGCCCAGCGCUCCCCCGUAGGCCCCGAAAUGUAGUGGCGGUCCCGCCGCGGCGCCCCCUGCGUAGUAGUUUUACAACUCGCAUCGGGUCCCGGCGGAGGCCAGCCGUCAAACCCCCCAACUUCAAUAGUUUGACCUCGGAUCAGGUAGGGUUACCGCUGAACUUAAGCAUAUCAAUAAGCGGAGGA
Molecule: unclassified non-coding RNA, 374 nt
Filed under: soil metagenome
Description: partial contains 5.8S ribosomal RNA, internal transcribed spacer 2, and large subunit ribosomal RNA
Rfam family: 5.8S ribosomal RNA (bases 1-120)
Source: RNAcentral